Chrysemys picta bellii (western painted turtle) is the source of this 2674-nucleotide long non-coding RNA. RefSeq lists it as uncharacterized. Lineage: Eukaryota; Metazoa; Chordata; Testudines; Emydidae. The record is from RefSeq and is a predicted model, not a curated record.
AAUUCUGUCUGAUGACCCCGUUCUUCAAAUUAUUGUUGUAUAAGGAAGCUGGCGCUACAUAGGAGAGAUCCUCAGGAAGGAGCCAGGGCUGAUCCUAGCAAAUCGCUAGAAGAUCCCCAGAAAGGAGACAGCAGCUGAUUCUGGGAAGGGCCCAAGGAUCACCAGGAAGAAGUGUUUUCCAAGGUCAGCAAUCACACUUUCAGCUGCUCCUUCAGGCUGUCUGCCUCUCUCUCAGGGUAUGUCUACACUACAGUAGCACAGCUCUGGCACUUCAGGACCGUUGUUUGAAUGCUUCCUACAUCGACAGAAGGGGUUUUUCCAUUGAGACACAGAGGACUUUGAACAUUCCUUAUAAAGAAACAAAACUGCAUCAAAGAAACAUCUGACUACUACCAAUUUCUACUCCCAACUGGAACACCCACAGGGCUACAAACUUUGACUAGCCACUUGGCAUGAAAAGAGACUGUCACUGCUUCUGUGCUAUGAACUGAAGGGAUCUGUCACAUGCAAGCAAAUGGCUAGGACUAAAUGAAUUUAAUCAGGAGAUCUUCAAUGAUCUGAAAUACAAAAAAGAGUCCUACAAAAUGUGGAAACUAGGUCAAAUUACAAAGGCAGAAUAUAAACAAAGAACACAUGUAUGUAGGGACAAAAUUAAAAAGGCCAAGGCACAAAAUGAAAUUAAACUAGCUAGAGACAUAAAGGGUAACAAGAAAACAUUCUGAAAAUACAUUAGAAGCAAGAGGAAGAUCAAGGACAGGGUUGGCCUGUUACUCAAUGGAGGGGGGCAGGGAACAAUAACAGAAGAUGUGGAAAUGACUUUUGUUUCAGUUUUCACCAAAAAAAAGUUAGUAGCGAUUGGAGGUCUAAAAUAGUCAAUGUCACUGAAAAUGUGAUAGGAAAAGAACAAGUUAAAUAUAUUAGAGAAAGAACAAGUUUAAAAUUAUUUAGACAAGUUAGAUGUCUUCAGGUCAGCAGGACCUGAUAUAAUACAUCCUAGAAUACUGAAGAAGAUAUCUGAGCCAUUAGCGAUUAUCAUUGAAAAGUCAUGGAAAUACAGGAGCGAUUCCAGAGAAAUAAGGAAAACCCAGGGAAUUACAGGCCCAUCAGGUUACUUCAGUAAUCGGAAAGAUAAUGGAGCAAUCAAUUUGCGAAAACUUAGAAGAGCACCCCAGCCCCACAGCACUGGGCGGGAUGGAGGCACAGCAUUAGCCUCCUGGAGUCCGGGGACGCGGGCCAGCCCCCUCUAACCCUAGCCCCAGCCCCAGCGCUGCCAUGGGGGAACAGCAUGGGCAGUGAGCAGGAGAGGACCUGCGGGCAGAGCAUGGGCGAGGCCAUGUAGGGCUGUUUGGGGAAGCUCUGCCUCCCCUGGCCUGCAAUACCCACCACCCAUGAGCCUAGCCCGGCUGAGUCUGGUGCCUGACCCUGAGCACGGGCAGAGCGUGACUAGGAGGCGCUCGCUGAUUCCCAGGCUCACAGCGUGGCCUCUCACUGGGGCCAUUCCUGGUCAGGUUCCCGGUGAUGUUGGGGGGCCCGGGCAGGUCUGUAACACAAACCAGACAGGGGGUUUCAGUGGGGUUGGACAGCACCGGAGGGGGAAGGUCACUAGUGAUCACUGAGCCGAGACGUGGACCCUCGCUGUGAGCUCAGCUGGGGGAUGAAAAAGUCCCUGAAGUGACACAAGACCCGUGGGCGGGGAAGAGAAGCGACAGACCAGACUGAGCCCCACCCAAGAGGCGCCCAAUAUAACCCAGGGGCCAGUUUAGGGCCGCGCCGGGGAACCAGAACCGUGGGAAAUGGAAACCCAAGGGACCAAAACUGGUUGGUCAAAAUUGGGCCUAAUUGGCAGAGUCACUAAAGAGGGGCCGGGCUGCUCCGGCCUGGGUACUUGAGCAAGCGUAACCAGUGCCACUAUCUGCCUGGCACCUGGGCAUUCAGCGGCCUGCUCCCCAAAUGUGUCCUCCCCAGGGCGGGACAGAGCCAGGGGUCUAAAUAACCCCACUCCCACCCCCACCCCAGACCCAGCCACCACCAGGGACAUCAGAGACCCCCGUCAUGGGUCCUUUGCCUCCCCUCUCAGUUCGUCUCUCCCCAGCCCUCUCCUUUUGUCCUAUGGCUUAGCUGCCAGGCCUGGAUAUUUUGCAGUCUGGCUGCGCCUAGAGCGGCGGCUAAAAGUAACAUGCAGAACAGCCAAAUACUGAUACUGGCUGGCUAAGCCUGGCAGGGUCCAUCCACGCUGCCCUCAAAGCCCCACGGCACCGAGCCUCAGAGCCUGGGUCCGUUGUGUCAGGCUCGCGGAACUCGGGCUGCGGGUCUUUGAUUGCAGUGCGGACAUUUCCUCCGAGGUCUGUGUAGACGUUUGGGGUUGAGCUGGGGCCUGACUUCAGACAUGGGCUGGGGACUGCGGGGCAGGUUCCUUCUAAAUCUCCCGCCGGCUGAACGGAACACGGGCCAUCCUUACACUGAUGCCUGAUUUGAUCCUUCACCUUGCAAAGGCAGCCACUGAUUUUCCCUCUCCCCUGGAUCUACAGCGCGAGGGUCACAGCUCAUUUAAUGCGGGUUUGCCCUGCGGCAGGGCGGGCUGAGGUAUCUGGGCACUGAGCCUGGAGCAUGUUUAGUGCCGGACAGUGACUGGGUCCCAUUCACACUCUGCCCCAUAUAGAGCAUCCACCGAUCC